GGGGCUGGUCAAGUCAUUUAAAAAGGGAGUUAUAACCCCGAUAAAAGGAUGAGUCCGCCGGCAUGUGUUCGAAUUUAAAAGCAUUGAUUGUCAUAUAAAAAGGGAGGACCAACCCUCGGAACCCACUGGAUCCGCCACUGCCUAUCCACUAGACUAUAUAUGAGAACAAACUAUGCAUAUAUUUCAAAUUAUUAUAGCGUUAGUUGUACUCUGCAAUUGAAAACAAAUGUUUUGUAAACAUGUAAAGCUUCUACUGCAAUUCAAUUUUUGUC
Molecule: long non-coding RNA, 272 nt
Filed under: Mytilus galloprovincialis (Mediterranean mussel)
Lineage: Eukaryota; Metazoa; Mollusca; Bivalvia; Mytilida; Mytilidae
Source: RNAcentral